RNAcentral lists this ribosomal RNA (800 nucleotides) under uncultured bacterium. Its description in RNAcentral is "bacterial SSU rRNA". It matches the Rfam family "Bacterial small subunit ribosomal RNA", at positions 87 to 901 of the family's 1533-position model. The record is from RNAcentral.
CAAUACUAGUGGCGCACGGGUGAGGAAUACAUGGGUAACCUGCCCUCGAGUCGGGGAUAACCAGUCGAAAGACUGGCUAAUACCGGAUAAGACCACAGGAUCUGCGGAUCUAGGGGUUAAAGGUUUUUCGCUUGAGGAUGGGCCCAUGCGGGAUUAGCUAGUUGGUGAGGUAACGGCUCACCAAGGCUACGAUCCCUAACUGGUCUUAGAGGAUGAUCAGUCACACUGGAACUGAGACACGGUCCAGACUCCUACGGGAGGCAGCAGUAGGGAAUAUUGCACAAUGGACGAAAGUCUGAUGCAGCGACGCCGCGUGAGUGAUGAAGGCCUUCGGGUCGUAAAGCUCUGUCGUAUGGGACUAACAAAAUGAAGGUACCAUGCAAGAAAGGAUCGGCUAACUUCGUGCCAGCAGCCGCGGUAAGACGAGGGAUCCUAGCGUUGUUCGGAAUUAUUGGGCGUAAAGCGGGUGUAGGCGGCUCUAUAAGUCAGGUGUGAAGGCCCGAGGCUCAACCUCGGAAGUGCACUUGAUACUGCAGAGCUUGAAUGUGGUAGAGGUUACUGGAAUUGUUGGUGUAGUGGUGAAAUACGUAGAUAUCAACAGGAAUACCGGAGGCGAAGGCGGGUAACUGGGCCAACAUUGACGCUGAGUCCCGAAAGCGUGGGGACCAAACAGGAUUAGAUACCCUGGUAGUCCACGCUGUAAACGAUGGAUACUUGAUGUUAGUGGUAUUGACCCCACUAGUGUCGGAGCUAACGCGUUAAGUAUCCCGCCUGGGGAGUACGGUCGCAAGAUUAAAACU